UACGAAGGGGGCUAGCGUUGCUCGGAAUCACUGGGCGUAAAGGGUGCGUAGGUGGGUUUGUAAGUCAGUGGUGAAAUCUCCAAGCUUAACUUGGGAACUGCCGUUGAUACUAUAAAUCUUGAAUGUUGUGGAGGUGAGCGGAAUAUGUCAUGUAGCGGUGAAAUGCUUAGAUAUGACAUAGAACACCAAUUGCGAAGGCAGCUCACUACACAAAGAUUGACACUGAGGCACGAAAGCGUGGGGAUCAAACAGG
This 253-nucleotide ribosomal RNA is filed under the name uncultured bacterium. RNAcentral's name for it is "partial 16S ribosomal RNA". It matches the Rfam family "Bacterial small subunit ribosomal RNA", at positions 524 to 776 of the family's 1533-position model. The record is from RNAcentral.